Molecule: long non-coding RNA, 3559 nt
Organism: Felis catus (domestic cat)
Lineage: Eukaryota; Metazoa; Chordata; Mammalia; Carnivora; Felidae
Exons: 3
Source: RefSeq, a predicted model, not a curated record
CUCUCUCUGCCCCUCCCCUGUUCAUACUCUGUCUCUCUGUCCCAAAAAUAAAUAAACGUUGAAAAAAAAAAAUUAAAAAAAAGAACAGCAGCCCGGAAACCAGGACGCAAGAGAAAGAAAAUAUGUCUGGCACAUGUGAGAAGGAGCAUAUGUGGGCACCGUACAAGGGGCAGGUGCCCGGACCUUACAUAGAAGGACUGGAUCCUCUCUGUGGGCACCUGCUCUCAGCCCUCUGCCAGUCUGCGCCCUGGACACUCGUCCUCUCCAUUUCUCUAAGUUUCCACCCGAGUCCAUCCAGAGCCUGCCUCGAGCUUCCCUUGUCUGGUCAGAGAAACAUGCUUUGCCCCUGGCACCUGGGCGGUGGAGGUUGACCCAGCACAGCUUGACCUUCACACGACCCAGGAGAUGAUGUCAUUCCAGCUCGCCCCAGGAAAACAUGUCAGGAUCUUGGGCAGCUCCUUGUGCAGUGCACAGGACAUGAUUCAUCCAAAUGUGAUAACUGCGUCGGUGAAGUCACAGACAUCUGAGGCUCAGGCAGUCCUCAGUGAAGUGGACUCCCAACGUGCCAUUCACGUCCUGCUAGAAGGCGUAGGUGGGAUUCAGACAGCACUGCUGGGGGUAUUGGAGGCUGGAUCCUCACCACCUGCACUACUAGGCCAGGAAUUGCAAACUUUGCCUAUGAAGGCCAGGUAGGAAAUAUUUAGGCUCUGUGUAAAUAUGCGAUCUCUGUUGCAAUUCAAAUACAUAGACCAGUUGGGUUUCGAUAACACUUCAUUUACAGAAGCGGGGGUGGGGGGGUGGGGACAUCGCCUCCCGCCCUGGGUUGGUCAUUGAGACCUGCUCGAGACCGACAGUGGUAAACUUGAGGUUGCCUCAGAAUCAUCAGAAGGGCUCAUUAGAACCAAGCUGGUGGCCAACACCCUCUUGAAUUUUCUGAUUCAGUAGGUCUUGAGUGAGGCCCAAGGCUUUCCGUUGUCAGUCUGUCUCCAGGUGAUUCUGGUACGCAGGGUUGGGGACCACGCAUUGAGAACCACUGCCCAGAGGAAUAUUAAUACACAUAGCCUGCACGUCACCUCUUGAAAGCAAAUCAGAAUUAAUAGAACAUCUUGCCAUUCCUAUGACUAAGUCCCUAUCCUGUCCUUCUCCUUGCAGUCUUUAUUCAGGAAUUUUUGUUUUCUGGAACAUCAGCUCUGUCAGACAGGGAUUCUGAAGAAUCCUGUCUUGUCAUUCACAGUGCCUGGCAUAGUGGCUUAGGUGCUCAAACAUGUUUGCUUGGAGAAUGAAAAUAAAAUGAAUGGCUGUAUUGCUGGGUUAGAUUAGUUCCAACAAUUUUAAAAAUGUGAUAAAAAUACUAAGGAUUUGGGUAUAUUGCUCUGACUCAGAGAAUAACAUUAACCCGUGGGGAAAAAUCGUUUGUAUUGAACAGUAGCUCAUUUUUUCCAGUUCACACAUUUAAGGAAAAUCUACAUUUUGAAGAUGGUCCUGAGUUUUGUCCCAGUCAUAUUAAAUGUAGCCUGCGUUAUGAGUCUCCAUCAGAAGAAACUCUUGCCUGUCAAGAGAUUGUUCCUUCGAGAUCGGGGACGAAAGGAGAUUCAGGCUAUAGGUUUCACUAAAGGCAGUACCAGCCUAGGCAAUAAAUGAUCUUACGGUGGAAAGAUUGGGAUCAGCCUGACUGGACAUGUCUAGAAAUAGCUAGAGCAGAGGACCGCCUGCCCGGACUGAUUUCCCCCUCGGGGUAAAUAGCCAGGUGUCAGGCGAGGACCAAGGCACGUACGAAUCUCAAUGCUUUGGUGGAACCAUAGAGGCAUCAGGGCCCCGUGGUUCCCUUGAUUUAGAAAACCGGCUGGGAAAUUAAAAUGUCCUCCGAACGAUUUGAAUUGGGAAGAAGACAACCUCAUUUAGUUUCAGAGCAUGACUUUUCUCCCCGCCACACCCCCAAUUCUGAAAGAACCCGACCACAGUAGCCGAAUGUAAAGGCCACUUGCUGUCUGCAGUAGGCAUGCAUCAGGGCUUUCCUGCGUCCAAAUGUUCAUUUCAACUGACAAAACAUUCCCGGCACUUUAAUUUUAUUUCAUAACGAACAGGCAAACUUAACUUCUAAGCAUUUUUAUUCCGAGUUUAAUGGCUCACACUCCCGAGGUCGGCAAGCAGAUGGAGUUGAAGACGAGAAUGUAUAAUUGCAGAUCAUGAAACUGCAAAAUUAAUAUUACUUUGUUAAUGUCAAGAUAAGAUUUGAGAGCCAGAAGGGAUUUUCAAGAUCAUUGAUCUUAAACCUCAUCACACACAGGAAGACAGUGAGGCGGAGGGAUGGCGUGUCCUUCCCAGACUCACAGAGCCAGCAAGGGACAGAACUACGUGUGAUGCCGCCUCCCGGCAUCCAAGCCAGUCCUCCUGCUCCUGGGCUCCACUCUCCCCAUUGACUCCUUUACAAGAAAGGGGCUCUCAUUUUUCCUCUGCUGCUUUACCUUCCAGUGUACAUGUAUGGGAGAAAGAGCGAGAGAACGUGUGCACAUCUGCGAUGGGUAUUUGGCUAUAAAUUUCAAUUUAGUGCGCCGUUUUGAGAUAUUUCAGAAUUUACUUUGAUGUGUUAACAGAACAUCAAACAAAAUCCCCGAUGGCAUGAAUCAAGAAUGACUUACCCCCACUACGUGUAGUAGUAAUGAGGAUCUGAUUGGGCCGUAUAUGACAGAGACCCAAAAUAACAGGCACCAAAACCCUGGAGGUUUCCAGGUGUAGGGAAAAUCCAGAGAGCUGUCAUGAUGAUAAUACCUCACACAUACGUCAGGGGCCUGGUUCCUUCUCUCCAUAGCUCUGCAAUUCUUAGAGGGCUUCCCAUGUGUUCAUGGGUUAGCAUGGUUAACUACCACCCUGGAAAUUCUAGCCAGGAGGGAAGGGAGAGGAGAAAGGAGAAAGGGGGUGCACAAUCCUUCCCUUGUGCCCAUGCCCGGGAAGCUGCACCCACGUUUCCCUGAUUGGAACUUAGUUAAGGGGUCAGACUUAGGUUCUGGGUAGCCACAUGCCCAGCUAAACAUAGUUUAUAGCAUUACAUACUACAGAAGAAACAGCGGUUACUGCUUUCUGCCAUAGUUGGCCACUCUGGCCAUCCACAUAUCUGUGCCUACCCAUCUUGUCACGUGAAGAACCCAGUACCCAAAGCAGGCAAUCCCUAAGUCUCAUAUUGUGAGUUUAUGGCACCUACAUGACAUGGUCCCCCACAGGGUUGGUCCCCUCAGGUUAGCCAUAAACUAAAAGAUAAGUUUCCUGCCCAUUCAUCGCAUCUAAUAUGUAAUGGUGGAGCAGGAGCAGAAGACCUCAAUGGAAAAAACGUCUCCCACUACUGAUCAGCACGGGAGUUUUGACCUGCUCCGUUUCCGAGCUGGGCCGGUUCACCCCUCCUUAGGCAACCUGGUGGUCCCCAGCUCCCAGGAGUUCACCAUAUUGAUGCCUAAAUGUCCAUCAACUGAUGAAUGGAUAAAGAAAUUGUGGUUGAUAUACACAAUGGAAUACUACUUGGCAAUGAGAAAGAAUGAAAUCUGGCCUUUUGUAGCAACGUGGAUGG